UAAGUUCUUGGCACUGGAUCUUCAGAGCUUAGCAGGAUGAGGUUAGAAGUCCUGGAGCAGAUUUGCACAGAGAGGAAAAGAAGACAGGCGCAUUAAGGGCGAGUAUCAGCAGGAGGCGUGACUUUCAGUGCCUUUUGUGGAGAACUUCCUUCUAAGGAAAGGAGUAGUAAACAAGCGCUUCUCCGUCCUGUAGAGAAGAGCACGCCAUGGGAGACGCAGCAGCGCUGAACAGACGGGUCUCUCCACUCAAGAACUUCGUGGCAGGUGGAGUUGGUGGAGCUUGUCUUCUGUUCGCCGGACACCCGCUCGACACAAUAAAGGUUCGCCUUCAGACGCAGCCCAAAGCCUCCUGCAGCCAGUAUGUGUUAUACACCGGAACAUACGACUGCUUCCGCAAGACAGUGUCCAGAGAGGGAGUGCUGGGUCUAUAUAAAGGAAUGGGAGCUCCGAUGGCUACAGUUGCUCCGAUGAUGGCGAUCAGCUUCUUCGGUUUUGGGCUUGGGAAGCAGCUGCUGCAGAGUGAUCCAGCAGCUCCACACACGCACUCUCAGAUCUACCUGGCUGGGAUGUUAGCGGGGGUCUUCACGACUGUGAUUGUAGCUCCAGCAGAGAGAAUCAAGUGUCUUCUUCAGGUGCAGUCCACCACCGGCCAAUUAAAGUAUGCCGGGCCUGUAAACUGCGCAGUGAGGCUGUACAGGGAACAGGGGAUUCGUAGUGUUUAUAAAGGGACUGUCCUCACUCUUAUCAGAGAUGUGCCUUCCAGCGGUCUGUACUUUUUAACCUAUGAGUACCUGAAAAGUGUCCUGACUCCUGAGGGUCAAAGCGUUCACGAACUCAGUACGCCAAGAAUUCUCUUGGCUGGUGGCACUGCUGGUAUUUUGAACUGGGUGAUUGCUCUUCCUCCUGAUGUUCUCAAGUCCAACUUUCAAACAGCAUGGACAUGCAUGCCCAGACCUGCUCUACAGCUGCUGAUGGACACUACAAAGGCUUAGUGGAUGUUUUAAGAACACUGAUACGGGAAGAAGGAGCCAAGGCUCUUUACAAAGGCUUAAGUGCAGUCAUGCUACGGGCCUUUCCUGCUAAUGCGGCUUGUUUUCUAGGUUUUGAAUUAGCUCUAAAGUCCUUGAACUGGCUGGCUCCAAACUGGUGACCACCAUGCUUGUGGUGACUCCGCUGCUGAUCACGUUUGGCACAGGAGGGAGUUUUAUAUGAUCCAAAGAUGGCUUUUUAAGUGACCUCUCCACUCAGAUCCAGCAUCGGUGGCUCUCCACAACCCUUUUAAACCCUCAUUUUGUUACAAAAAGCCUAAUUUCUAUAGAGUGUGUGGCUAAUUUCACCCAAAAAAUGAAUAACCAUCAAGCAACUUUAGCAAUAUUGCUAGCAGCUGGAACUGCUAGCUUAAUAUUCAUUAUUUUGAGUGUAAAGUUUUUUUAUGAUAAGAGCAACGUAUCAUGUCUUCGAGUUAUUUGACAUGCUUACCCUUUUUAUGGAAUCAUACACACAUUGUAACUAAUUGUGCAGUUGGCCACAUCUGUAAUAACAUUUAAAAAUGUAUGUAAUUCAUUUAUAAUUAUUUUGAGUGAAAUAAUCUUCUAUGACAUGAGAAAUAGACUAUAUCUUCUGGUUAUUUGAUAAAUAAUUUCUUUAGAAUAUUUAUUUUAAUUGAAGACAAAUUACUCACCAGGAUAAAUACCAUAACACAAACAUGUGCUCUGACCUCAGUGCCACUAAAAAUCUACAAAAAAAUGAUGUUUGCAGUUUGUGUUCAUAAGUUGACCUUCAUACACUUGUGGAAAAUAAUUGUAAAUAAAUAUGUUGUGUUAUUGUUAUCUUUCUAA
Pygocentrus nattereri (red-bellied piranha) is the source of this 1838-nucleotide RNA transcript. It is a transcript of the gene named mitochondrial carnitine/acylcarnitine carrier protein, with no coding region annotated. The transcript is spliced from 10 exons. The record is from RefSeq and is a predicted model, not a curated record. NCBI's taxonomy places the organism in Eukaryota, Metazoa, Chordata, Actinopteri, Characiformes, Serrasalmidae.